Molecule: unclassified non-coding RNA, 335 nt
Filed under: soil metagenome
Description: partial contains 5.8S ribosomal RNA, internal transcribed spacer 2, and large subunit ribosomal RNA
Rfam family: 5.8S ribosomal RNA (bases 1-120)
Source: RNAcentral
GAUGAAGAACGUAGCGAAAUGCGAUAAGUAGUGUGAAUUGCAGAAUUCAGUGAAUCAUCGAAUCUUUGAACGCACAUUGCGCCCUUUGGUAUUCCUUAGGGCAUGCCUGUUCGAGCGUCAUUUAAACCUUCAAGCUCAGCUUGGUGAUGGGCGACUGUCCUCCCCUCGCGGGGGGACUCGCCUCAAAAACACUGGCGGCCGGUACAUUGGCUUCGAGCGCAGCAGAAACGCGGUCUCGAGCCCGGUGGAUCGGCUCCCAUAAGCCUAUUCUUUUAUUUUGACCUCGGAUCAGGUAGGGAUACCCGCUGAACUUAAGCAUAUCAAUAAGCGGAGGA